RNAcentral lists this ribosomal RNA (460 nucleotides) under uncultured bacterium. RNAcentral describes it as "partial 16S ribosomal RNA". It matches the Rfam family "Bacterial small subunit ribosomal RNA", at positions 338 to 795 of the family's 1533-position model. The record is from RNAcentral.
CCUACGGGUGGCUGCAGUGAGGAAUAUUGGUCAAUGGGCGGAAGCCUGAACCAGCCAAGUCGCGUGAGGGAUUAAGGCCCUGCGGGUCGUAAACCUCUUUUGCCGGGGAGCAGUGGUCCGGACGCGUCCGGACCGGGAGAGUACCCGGAGACAAAGCAUCGGCUACCUCCGUGCCAGCAGCCGCGGUAAUACGGAGGAUGCAAGUGUUAUCCGGAUUUAUUGGGUUUACAGGGUGCGUAGGCGGGCAUUUAGGCCGACGGUCAAAUGUCGGGGUUCAACCCCGGCCUGCCGUCGGAACUGGGGGCCUGGAGUGGGCGAGAGGGAGGCGGAAUGCGUGGUGUAGCGGUGAAAUGCAUAGAUAUCACGCAGAACCCCGAUUGCGAAGGCAGCAUACCGGAGUCCGACUGACGCUGAGGCACGAAAGUGCGGGUAGCGAACAGGAUUAGAUACCCGGGUAGUC